This 496-nucleotide ribosomal RNA is filed under the name uncultured bacterium. Its description in RNAcentral is "partial 16S ribosomal RNA". It matches the Rfam family "Bacterial small subunit ribosomal RNA", at positions 28 to 506 of the family's 1533-position model. The record is from RNAcentral.
GAUGAACGCUGGCGGCGUGCCUAAUACAUGCAAGUCGAGCGAACAGACGAGGAGCUUGCUCCUCUGACGUUAGCGGCGGACGGGUGAGUAACACGUGGAUAACCUACCUAUAAGACUGGGAUAACUUCGGGAAACCGGAGCUAAUACCGGAUAAUAUAUUGAACCGCAUGGUUCAAUAGUGAAAGACGGUUUUGCUGUCACUUAUAGAUGGAUCCGCGCCGCAUUAGCUAGUUGGUAAGGUAACGGCUUACCAAGGCAACGAUGCGUAGCCGACCUGAGAGGGUGAUCGGCCACACUGGAACUGAGACACGGUCCAGACUCCUACGGGAGGCAGCAGUAGGGAAUCUUCCGCGAUGGGCGAAAGCCUCACGGAGCAACGCCGCGUGAGUGAUGAAGGUCUUCGGAUCGUAAAACGCUGUUAUUAGGGAAGAACAAAUGUGUAAGUAACUAUGCACGUCUUGACGGUACCUAAUCAGAAAGCCACGGCUAACUACGU